GAUGAAGAACGCAGCGAAAUGCGAUAAGUAAUGUGAAUUGCAGAAUUCAGUGAAUCAUCGAAUCUUUGAACGCACCUUGCGCUCCUUGGUAUUCCGAGGAGCAUGCCUGUUUGAGUGUCAUUAAAUUCUCAACCUCACCCGUUUUCUGAACGGUUCUCCGAGGCUUGGAUGUGGGGGUUUGUGCAGGCUGCCUCAGCGCGGUCUGCUCCCCUGAAAUGCAUUAGCGAGUUCGUACUGAGUUCCGUCUAUUGGUGUGAUAAUUAUCUACGCCGUGGACAGGGUUUAGACUCGCUUCUAACCGCCCGCAAGGACAAUACCUUUGACAAUUUGACCUCAAAUCAGGUAGGACUACCCGCUGAACUUAAGCAUAUCAAUAAGCGGAGGA
RNAcentral lists this unclassified non-coding RNA (385 nucleotides) under soil metagenome. RNAcentral describes it as "partial contains 5.8S ribosomal RNA, internal transcribed spacer 2, and large subunit ribosomal RNA". The stretch from base 1 to 120 matches the Rfam family "5.8S ribosomal RNA", at positions 35 to 154 of the family's 154-position model. The record is from RNAcentral.